RNAcentral lists this ribosomal RNA (2235 nucleotides) under Salmonella enterica subsp. enterica serovar Kintambo. Its description in RNAcentral is "bacterial LSU rRNA". It matches the Rfam family "Bacterial large subunit ribosomal RNA", at positions 594 to 2812 of the family's 2925-position model. The record is from RNAcentral. Lineage: Bacteria; Pseudomonadati; Pseudomonadota; Gammaproteobacteria; Enterobacterales; Enterobacteriaceae.
UGACUGCGUACCUUUUGUAUAAUGGGUCAGCGACUUAUAUUCUGUAGCAAGGUUAACCGAAUAGGGGAGCCGGAGGGAAACCGAGUCUUAAUUGGGCGUUAAGUUGCAGGGUAUAGACCCGAAACCCGGUGAUCUAGCCAUGGGCAGGUUGAAGGUUGGGUAACACUAACUGGAGGACCGAACCGACUAAUGUUGAAAAAUUAGCGGAUGACCUGUGGCUGGGGGUGAAAGGCCAAUCAAACCGGGAGAUAGCUGGUUCUCCCCGAAAGCUAUUUAGGUAGCGCCUCGUGAAUUCAUCUCCGGGGGUAGAGCACUGUUUCGGCUAGGGGGCCAUCCCGGCUUACCAACCCGAUGCAAACUGCGAAUACCGGAGAAUGUUAUCACGGGAGACACACGGCGGGUGCUAACGUCCGUCGUGAAGAGGGAAACAACCCAGACCGCCAGCUAAGGUCCCAAAGUCAUGGUUAAGUGGGAAACGAUGUGGGAAGGCCCAGACAGCCAGGAUGUUGGCUUAGAAGCAGCCAUCAUUUAAAGAAAGCGUAAUAGCUCACUGGUCGAGUCGGCCUGCGCGGAAGAUGUAACGGGGCUAAACCAUGCACCGAAGCUGCGGCAGCGACGCUUAUGCGUUGUUGGGUAGGGGAGCGUUCUGUAAGCCUGUGAAGGUGGCCUGUGAGGGUUGCUGGAGGUAUCAGAAGUGCGAAUGCUGACAUAAGUAACGAUAAAGCGGGUGAAAAGCCCGCUCGCCGGAAGACCAAGGGUUCCUGUCCAACGUUAAUCGGGGCAGGGUGAGUCGACCCCUAAGGCGAGGCCGAAAGGCGUAGUCGAUGGGAAACGGGUUAAUAUUCCCGUACUUGGUGUUACUGCGAAGGGGGGACGGAGAAGGCUAUGUUGGCCGGGCGACGGUUGUCCCGGUUUAAGCGUGUAGGUGUGUGUUCCAGGUAAAUCCGGUUCACUUUAACACUGAGGCGUGACGACGAGGCACUACGGUGCUGAAGCAACAAAUGCCCUGCUUCCAGGAAAAGCCUCUAAGCAUCAGGUAACAUCAAAUCGUACCCCAAACCGACACAGGUGGUCAGGUAGAGAAUACCAAGGCGCUUGAGAGAACUCGGGUGAAGGAACUAGGCAAAAUGGUGCCGUAACUUCGGGAGAAGGCACGCUGACAUGUAGGUGAAGUGAUUUACUCACGGAGCUGAAGUCAGUCGAAGAUACCAGCUGGCUGCAACUGUUUAUUAAAAACACAGCACUGUGCAAACACGAAAGUGGACGUAUACGGUGUGACGCCUGCCCGGUGCCGGAAGGUUAAUUGAUGGGGUCAGCGCAAGCGAAGCUCCUGAUCGAAGCCCCGGUAAACGGCGGCCGUAACUAUAACGGUCCUAAGGUAGCGAAAUUCCUUGUCGGGUAAGUUCCGACCUGCACGAAUGGCGUAAUGAUGGCCAGGCUGUCUCCACCCGAGACUCAGUGAAAUUGAACUCGCUGUGAAGAUGCAGUGUACCCGCGGCAAGACGGAAAGACCCCGUGAACCUUUACUAUAGCUUGACACUGAACAUUGAGCCUUGAUGUGUAGGAUAGGUGGGAGGCUUUGAAGCGUGGACGCCAGUCUGCGUGGAGCCGACCUUGAAAUACCACCCUUUAAUGUUUGAUGUUCUAACGUGGACCCGUUACCCGGGUUGCGGACAGUGUCUGGUGGGUAGUUUGACUGGGGCGGUCUCCUCCUAAAGAGUAACGGAGGAGCACGAAGGUUGGCUAAUCCUGGUCGGACAUCAGGAGGUUAGUGCAAUGGCAUAAGCCAGCUUGACUGCGAGCGUGACGGCGCGAGCAGGUGCGAAAGCAGGUCAUAGUGAUCCGGUGGUUCUGAAUGGAAGGGCCAUCGCUCAACGGAUAAAAGGUACUCCGGGGAUAACAGGCUGAUACCGCCCAAGAGUUCAUAUCGACGGCGGUGUUUGGCACCUCGAUGUCGGCUCAUCACAUCCUGGGGCUGAAGUAGGUCCCAAGGGUAUGGCUGUUCGCCAUUUAAAGUGGUACGCGAGCUGGGUUUAGAACGUCGUGAGACAGUUCGGUCCCUAUCUGCCGUGGGCGCUGGAGAACUGAGGGGGGCUGCUCCUAGUACGAGAGGACCGGAGUGGACGCAUCACUGGUGUUCGGGUUGUCAUGCCAAUGGCACUGCCCGGUAGCUAAAUGCGGAAGAGAUAAGUGCUGAAAGCAUCUAAGCACGAAACUUGCCCCGAGAUGAGUUCU